AGUGAACGCUGGCGGUAGGCCUAACACAUGCAAGUCGAACGGCAGCACAGUAAGAGCUUGCUCUUACGGGUGGCGAGUGGCGGACGGGUGAGGAAUACAUCGGAAUCUACUUUUUCGUGGGGGAUAACGUAGGGAAACUUACGCUAAUACCGCAUACGACCUACGGGUGAAAGCAGGGGAUCUUCGGACCUUGCGCGAUUGAAUGAGCUGAUGUCGGAUUAGCUAGUUGGCGGGGUAAAGGCACACCAAGGCGACGAUCCGUAGCUGGUCUGAGAGGAUGAUCAGCCACACUGGAACUGAGACACGGUCCAGACUCCUACGGGAGGCAGCAGUGGGGAAUAUUGGACAAUGGGCGCAAGCCUGAUCCAGCCAUACCGCGUGGGUGAAGAAGGCCUUCGGGUUGUAAAGCCCUUUUGUUGGGAAAGAAAAGCAGCAGGUUAAUACCCCGCUGUUCUGACGGUACCCAAAGAAUAAGCACCGGCUAACUUCGUG
This 492-nucleotide ribosomal RNA is filed under the name uncultured bacterium. RNAcentral's name for it is "partial 16S ribosomal RNA". It matches the Rfam family "Bacterial small subunit ribosomal RNA", at positions 29 to 507 of the family's 1533-position model. The record is from RNAcentral.